This 253-nucleotide ribosomal RNA is filed under the name uncultured bacterium. RNAcentral describes it as "partial 16S ribosomal RNA". It matches the Rfam family "Bacterial small subunit ribosomal RNA", at positions 524 to 776 of the family's 1533-position model. The record is from RNAcentral.
UACGUAGGGGGCUAGCGUUGUCCGGAAUCAUUGGGCGUAAAGAGCGCGUAGGCGGCCAGAUAAGUCCGGUGUGAAAGUCAAAGGCUCAACCUUUGAAUGCCGCUGGAAACUGUCUGGCUAGAGUCCGGGAGGGGCGAGUGGAAUUCCUGGUGUAGCGGUGAAACGCGUAGAUAUCGAGAGGAACACCUGCGGCGAAGGCGGGUGGCUGGGCCGACACUGACGCUGAGGCGCGAAAGCCAGGGGAGCGAACGGG